Molecule: ribosomal RNA, 491 nt
Filed under: uncultured bacterium
Lineage: Bacteria
Description: partial 16S ribosomal RNA
Rfam family: Bacterial small subunit ribosomal RNA
Source: RNAcentral
AGUGAACGCUGGCGGUAGGCCUAACACAUGCAAGUCGAACGGCAGCACAGUAAGAGCUUGCUCUUACGGGUGGCGAGUGGCGGACGGGUGAGGAAUACAUCGGAAUCUACUUUUUCGUGGGGGAUAACGUAGGGAAACUUACGCUAAUACCGCAUACGACCUACGGGUGAAAGCAGGGGAUCUUCGGACCUUGCGCGAUUGAAUGAGCCGAUGUCGGAUUAGCUAGUUGGCGGGGUAAAGGCCCACCAAGGCGACGAUCCGUAGCUGGUCUGAGAGGAUGAUCAGCCACACUGGACCUGAGACCUGGUCCAGACUCCUCCGGGAGGCAGCAGUGGGGAAUAUUGGACAAUGGGCGCAAGCCUGAUCCAGCCAUACCGCGUGGGUGAAGAAGGCCUUCGGGUUGUAAAGCCCUUUUGUUGGGAAAGAAAAGCAGCAGGUUAAUACCCCGCUGUUCUGACGGUACCCAAAGAAUAAGCACCGGCUAACUUCGU